This is a long non-coding RNA of Peromyscus eremicus (cactus mouse), 628 nucleotides long. RefSeq lists it as uncharacterized. The record is from RefSeq and is a predicted model, not a curated record. Lineage: Eukaryota; Metazoa; Chordata; Mammalia; Rodentia; Cricetidae. The transcript has 3 exons.
UUAGCCAAUCGGGAACGCGCACGCUCCGCCCUCUUGUCAGCCAUCCGUAGUGCUGGCAGCGAGGCGUCUUAGCCUACGCACCCAUCCAGUUGAAGCGAUUGGAGUUUAUUUUUAACUGGCAUAAGAUUCAUCAGUGUCUGAAGCUGAGGCUGCAAACAGUCUGCCACGGACCUGUUUUCUGGUACAAGCCACGUAACCUCCAGUCCAGUUUGCUUAUCGUCAGCACUGGAAUGUGACAGCAGCCUCUUCACAGAGGCACAGGAGGAAAAGGAUCACCUAACAGAGCCAAACGCCUCUGCUGUUUCCCACACAGCCCGAGCUGUGCUCCAGCAAGACCAGGGGGCACAGAAAAGGUGGUACUUGUCAACAGUGAGCCUGCCGCUGCUCUAGCGAUCCAGACUGUUGAGGUGCACGGUGUAGCACAGGUUGGUUGAAGAAAGAACGCACUCCAAGGUGAAAUUUAAAGGACUGCGUGGCAGCAGGAAGGUCCAGCCUCUCGGAUGGACUGAACCCAGAACAGCCAUACAAAGGCGGAUUUACUGAUUGUUACACAAAGUAUUUCCUCAGACCAAGGUCCCUAAUCUGAUUUACAUGUCUUACUAAAGAAGAGCAUCCCAUGGCCUCAUGA